Long non-coding RNA from Bubalus bubalis (water buffalo), 5021 nucleotides. RefSeq lists it as uncharacterized. The transcript is spliced from 2 exons. The record is from RefSeq and is a predicted model, not a curated record. Lineage: Eukaryota; Metazoa; Chordata; Mammalia; Artiodactyla; Bovidae.
GAAGGGUGGGGACUCUAAACGACUUCAGUGGGUAUCAGAGAACAAAGCCUGAUGCAUUUGAUCAAGAAUUAGUUAUGGAAAUGUUUGAGAGUGGUGUUUGUUCUGUGGAGUCAAGAUUCCCCAAGUGAUCACUGUGAGGGUUUCCUGGGAUUUGAUGUAAAUCAUAGGAAUUGAAUAUUAAUUAAAUAACUCUGAACAAGUAGGUCUAAUCAGAGUAUAACAGCUCAUGACUUUCAUUUUUUUUCUGUGUAAAAUGGAAAUAUUACUACCUUGUUUAUGUGGCGAGUAGCCCAUAGUGCUUUGACCCCAGAGAGGAGGGUUCCCCAUAUCUAUGCAUGCCUGUGGUUUGGUAGGAGGGGUCACCCCCAGAUGAGUGGUUGGGGACUCAUAUCUGCAGUAUCUAGCAGGGCUUUAGAGGCUUGGAUCUCAUGAUGGUUUCUGUUUCCUGAGCUUUAUCUGGUCAGUUUCAACCGUCCUGCAUGAGGAUGCAGAGGAGGACAGUGGUGGCUGAGUUCUUGCCUUGAAACAAUGAGAGGGACUUGCUCUGGCUCCUGGUUUGAUCUGUGUCUUGCCAAAUUGUCUGGUUUCUCCUCUCAGCCUGGAUCUUCUAAUACCACCCAGGAAAUACUAAUGCCAGUAACAUCCACCACUCUGUUAGGCAUAUGGCAGCUCAGGGACUGAUAUGGAAACACCGUCUUUCUGUCAUUCACACCCACUUGUUACAGCUUCUGCAAAGGUUGUCACUUUAGAGGAGAGAUGGGAGAGGUUUCUAUUAAAAGAAGAAAAAAGAAGAAGAAGAAGAAACUACAACCAUCAGGCUCACUAGAGAAAAACCCCCUGACUUACCAUGUGAACGGCUACCAUGGCCUCAGGUGUGCAGUGAGCAUAGAGGACAGUGAUGAGUGUGACAGAAGUCUCCAACCAGGAGAACAGGCCUGUCGUCAGGUGAGCCCAGUGUGACAGAAGCUGGGGCAGAGGUGGUGAUGGGCAAGAAGGAGUAAGGAGGGAUUAUUUACUUUUCCUAAUUUUAAAAAAUAUUAAGCUUUUAUAGACUAUAUUUGAACAUUUUGGUAGCUACAAAAAAGAUAAAUAAAAGUUUUCACUACCUUCUUCACAUUAACUCAGUUUCUCUCUGUUCUUAAACUUCGUUCAAGUUUGAAAAUUGAAUGCAAUGUGUGUCGAUUCUUAUUUCUUAACAGUGACUCUGCAUUGAGGAGAGAGGGUAGAGUGGGCCGAAUAAAGCGCAGGGCGCUGGACAGCAAACUGCAGACUAGGGCGCCCCAAGCCCGCACUCCCCCAUGGUGAAGUCAGCAAAGCAACCAGGGUCUGCCAGCGCAGAGGACCCGAGAAGCAGCAACAGUGAUCUCUUUUCUGCUCCCACCAUUGCCAGCCCUAGCAGGAGUCCAGAUUAGCUCCUGGGGUAUGUGUGUGCCUCUAUGUUUGUACGUGGGUGUGUGUGCAUGCGUGUGUGUGUGCGCGUGCGUUUGUGUGUACUUCGUAUUUCUUCCUGCCGCAUAAGUGAGCCUGGAUGCUUCAAGUAAGCAAUGGCCAUGCCAUGCAAACAGCACAGUGAAAAGGGUAGUGUCUUUGGGAGUUGAGUGUGCACACAGAGUUUGUAUAAUGGGUCCAGGUGCAAACUUCCGGUUGUUUCUGUGGUUCAUACCUGUUUUGUGAGGGGAAUGGUCUUCCCUUGGGAUAUUAGCUCAAAGCUUAUGGAGAGAAGGACUACACAGGUGUAUGUUAGAGCCAGCAGCUCCGGGCAUGGAGGAUUGGGCAAACCAAGUGAACUGCUCGAGGCUCCUGAUGUGAAGGAAGAGACUGUGUACAUAGGGACCCCAGGCCUGCAGAGUCAGAGUUCUGAUUGCCUGCAGGGACUCUGGGUGUUAGUGGAGCAGAGAGGUGCAGGGGCUGAGAUGCCAGCUGCCUUCCCAAGACUAGAGCAGGAGGGAGCAGAGAAGCACGUAGUGUGGCCCAUCUUUGUUUCUGGCGCGUCUUUCUGUCCAGACACCAGGCUACAGGGAAGACUUGAUUCUUGCUCUUUAAAACCGCUUUAGCUAUUCUAUUUUUCCAUUCAUUUUUUAAAAAGGUAUAUAUAUACAUAUACCACUGGAAGUGCUAAAACUUUGUUUUCAUUUGACAGUUUGCCAUCGACAUCUUUCCAAGUCAAUAUCUAUGGAUCUAACUCAUUUAAAUAACAGCAAUAAACCAAAAAGCAAAUUGAUAGUCUUGUGUUAUGUGAAUGCAUUGAAAAUUUACUUAACUGGUCCCUUGCCGUGUUUUCUAAAUAUUCUGUUAUUACGUAAUGCUGAUGUCAACAUUCUUAAUAUACAUGUAGUUGCACAAAUGUUCUCACACACCCAUUUCUUGUCAUCUGGCUUUGCUUGGUAAAGACUAAAAGACCAAUUACAUAGUCAAGUUUUCAGUCAUUUCCUUCCUGGCUUCUGAACCUUGUAUUUUUGUACUUUAGUAACAUCUCAACUCUGAAACUACAGAAUAAGAUGUCUUCCGUGCUUUCUUGCUUUCUGUUUUACUUUCACUGUUUCAGCUCACAGUUCACACAGCCCAGCCCCCUGCAGAAUCUCCCUUGCUCAUCUUGGCUGCGGCCCUGCAGUCUCGAGGGGAGGGCCUCUCCGCCGCGGCCUCCCGCUCUCCGCCCGCCCUCGUCUGCCGCCUGGGCCGCUCCGCGACGCCGCGUCGCGCUGUCCCGAGCGGGGAGCCCCCUCCGAGGCAGAGGCCCCGGGCGAGCUCGGGCGUUAGGGCGGUCGGGGCCGCUGAGGCCUGCCGGCGACUCGUCCCGGGGACACUCGAAGCGGUUGUCGGGCGCCCCUGGCGGCCGCUUUCAGAGCGUUCCUUUCCUUCGGCGACCUUCAUAAGGGCUGCGACUCAGCCAGCGAAAGCGAGGCGGAGCUCCAGAGGCCGGCAGCACUGGCGGCGAUAACCCCGGUGCUUCGGAGACCUGGGCACGCCUGCUCCUGUUGAAGAUUGAUUCUGCAGGAAUUCGUGAGUUGGCUUGGCGCUGCGGCGGGAUGAGGUGGCUGGCGCUUGGGGUCGACCAGCAUCUCCCCUCGUCCUUCUAUCCGCGGGGCCUUGGAGCAAGCAGGGGAGAGUCUUCGCACCGUAGUUCCUAUGGCUCGUCGGGCAGGCUCCUGGGUCACCGUUAGGGGCAUUCGUUUCCCAUCCUCGGUACCCCGCUCCAGGCUCUAGAGCUUGGCCAGACCGGCCGUGUCCGUGCUUGGAGGGCUCGUUGGCGGGGGCGCCUGGGCCCCGUCUCCAACUCUGGACGCGUCAUGCUCCCGCUGGACCUGAACGGUGAGGCUUGCGUGGCGAGUACGGCCGUGUCUCUACAAGCUGUACGGCGAUCCGAACGUUUUCUCCGCCCGCGGGGACGCCUGGGUUACCGCUUGCGUCCAGGAGAGUGAUGGUGCCCGGAGCAGUGUCCUGGGGCCCCACUUUCCGGUUUUCACGCCUCGGCUGGGAAUGGCCGCGUGUCUCUGUAGGCGGACGGCGCAAGGUUCACGCCGGCCAUCCCUGGAUCCCGGGCGUCCCCACACGGAGUGGGGCCUGGCCGGACACGCGGAAAAGCGUCGCUGGGCUGCGCGCCGGGCCCUCCCCGCGGCACCGAGAUCCCCGUGCUUGGAUCUCCCGGCCCCACGUCCUCGCCGACUGGUGGCCAAGAUCCGCACCAGGGCCGGGCGGCGGGGGAGCUGCUCCCCGACGGCAGCUGUCGUAUCACCAAGCUCUGCGAUCGUCCGAGGCCGGGCUGCGUCUUCGCGGGGAACGCCUGUAGUUUCUUUUGUUCACCUUGCGAGCUCGGCGUUUGUGUGGACCACACACGUGUCCCUCGCCGCGGGUGACAACAGGGAACAAGGCGGGCGAGCAAGGAGGUCGCCCAAUGCGCGGCUCUAGUCCUGCCCGGGCACGGUGGUCAGAGCCGCCAAAUAUUUGAGACCCGGAAAGUGGCCGGGGCCGUCCGGUGAGGUUACAAGGAGACGCGAGCCUGGCGCGGUCUUCAGUCCUGGGAGAGCCUCUCAACAUGCGUGGACGGGAGAACGCUUAGGGGAGAGAAAUGAAACCUCCGGCGAACUCGGAGGAAACGAGUGCGGAAUGGUGGUGCUGUGCCUUCUCCGCCCUGCGAUUCGGGAAGGGGAACCCUUUCCAGGGCCCUAGAGUGGGCUCACACGUGCUGACACAAAGCAAGAGACUUGAUUGGGAAGGGCACCCAGGAGGACAGCAGCAGGGUGAGGAAGCCCAGGGGACUUCUCUGCCACGAGACCUGCAGUCUCAGGUUUUAUGGCCAUGGGGUUGGUUUCCAGGUUGCCUCUGGCCAAGCAUUCUGACUGAAGGUUCAUUUCAUGUGUUUUGUUCAGCUUUCUAAUUACCAGUAGUAGGUGAGGAAGUCCAGACACUCCUUCUUGUAUUUAGAAGCAGAAAUCACAUUUCAAGAGAAAAAUAUACUUUUCAAUCAAUAAUUUAAAAUUGCCUAACCACACAGGCUUGAAGGUGUCUUUUGUUUCAUAUUCUUUGUUUUGCUCAUGAACAUGUUAAAAUAAAAUGAAAUAUCAGGAGACAAGCUUAGAUGGCUCUUUCCUCCCCAGAAGAACUUUAUGCCAAUAAAUCCUGGGUAAGGUCUUAGGAGUCUCUGAGUUUGAAUCCUUAAGGUAUAUCAAGUCACUGAGGCAAUUUUUGCUCCUGUUUUCAUAAGAUCUGUUGGUCUAAUAAGUCACACUAAAUUUUCCCACGGUUUAUAUUGUGGAGAAUUUUUUUCACCUGAAUCCCAGUGUCCAUCUUCUUUUUCAGUCACUAGCAGUUCAUUCUGCUCUAAAGUGUGCAGUUCACUAUCUCUGGAUUGGCUUGAGGUGACCACUUGUGGGACACUUGGUAGCUCACUUCUCAUUUCUAAUCCAUGAAUUUGAAUUAAAGGGACCUUUAAAGCUCUUGUAUUCAUUACUCAAUAAAUACUUAUCAACUGAGAAUUGUAAUCACUGGAGGCACAUUAAUAAAUGAACAGAUAGGGACCCUGA